Leersia perrieri is the source of this 89-nucleotide small nucleolar RNA. It matches the Rfam family "Small nucleolar RNA Z162". From Rfam's summary of the family: Z162 is a member of the C/D class of snoRNA which contain the C (UGAUGA) and D (CUGA) box motifs. Lineage: Eukaryota; Viridiplantae; Streptophyta; Magnoliopsida; Poales; Poaceae. The record is from Rfam.
GGUGGCACAAUGAGGAACUAUCUUUGCUAAUGUAUCUAUGAGGCCAUUAGGCUAAUGACUCAAAAUGUCCUUUUCAUUCUGAGUGCCUG